This 252-nucleotide ribosomal RNA is filed under the name Aedoeadaptatus coxii. RNAcentral's name for it is "Peptoniphilus coxii partial 16S ribosomal RNA". It matches the Rfam family "Bacterial small subunit ribosomal RNA", at positions 524 to 776 of the family's 1533-position model. The record is from RNAcentral. RNAcentral also lists the same sequence under 2 other names. Lineage: Bacteria; Bacillati; Bacillota; Tissierellia; Tissierellales; Peptoniphilaceae.
UACGUAGGGGGCGAGCGUUGUCCGGAAUUACUGGGCGUAAAGGGUUCGCAGGCGGCAUGGCAAGUCCGAUGUAAAAGGCGAAGGCUCAACCUUCGUAAGCAUCGGAAACUGUCAAGCUUGAGUGAAGGAGAGGCAAGUGGAAUUCCUAGUGUAGCGGUGGAAUGCGUAGAUAUUAGGAGGAAUACCGGUGGCGAAGGCGACUUGCUGGACUUCAACUGACGCUGAGGAACGAAAGCGUGGGUAGCAAACAGG